GAAGCAAAGCCGCGAGGCGGAGCAAAUCCCUAAAAGCGUCCCAGUUCGGAUUGCAGGCUGCAACCCGCCUGCAUGAAGUUGGAAUCGCUAGUAAUCGCGGAUCAGCAUGCCGCGGUGAAUACGUUCCCGGGCCUUGUACACACCGCCCGUCACACCGUGAGAGUCGGGAACACCCGAAGUCCGUAGCCUGACCGCAAGGGGGGCGCGGCCGAAGGUGGGUUCGAUAAUUGGGGUGAAGUCGUAACAAGGUACC
RNAcentral lists this ribosomal RNA (253 nucleotides) under uncultured bacterium. RNAcentral describes it as "partial 16S ribosomal RNA". It matches the Rfam family "Bacterial small subunit ribosomal RNA", at positions 1246 to 1500 of the family's 1533-position model. The record is from RNAcentral.